RNAcentral lists this long non-coding RNA (1238 nucleotides) under Nicotiana tabacum (common tobacco). Its description in RNAcentral is "long non-coding RNA (NTAB_LNC017096)". The record is from RNAcentral. Lineage: Eukaryota; Viridiplantae; Streptophyta; Magnoliopsida; Solanales; Solanaceae.
CACACACAGAGAAUUACGGAGGGGAGACUGAAAAGCAGAGAGCAAAAAAGAGAACAGAAGCGGCGAGAUUAGCAACGAGAAAAAUCUAGCGCCGCAGCCUCUUCAUCCCAAAAAUCUACCUCUACAGCUACACCACCAUGGAAAUACCAUAGCUAAUCCUCAUUUUCUCCAUUGAAAUAGCUUAAGUUUCCAGCACUAAAAUCAGUCACAAAACCCAUUUAUAAAUACCAUUUCGGAUCAAGAGUUCAGUGAUUUCAAAUCUCCGGCUCUCUGAAUCUGAGUCGAGUUCGAUUUUCAGUCAAGAGGUGGUCCGUUCGUGGAUUUUGGUCCAUUGUUAAUUUCCUGCAGAAUCCAUUCUUUUAAUAUAACUUUGUGUUGGAAGCACCUUGAAAGGUCCAUUUCUAACUUUGUCCCUCUUCAAAUAUUCAAUAUAUCCUUGCAAUUAGUUUUGAUGGAAUGAAAUAAUCUUGUGCAUAUUCUUUGAGAUUAUGUGUUGAUUUGUUUGGAUGGUAUUCGUACCGUUUUCAAUUAUCAUUAGUUUAAGGACUACGGAGUCUUGUGAUUGUUGAAUCAUUAGUCUUUUACUAAGCUUUGUUUUUAAAAGAAAAAUAGUGCACUAAGAAUUUUGGAUUAAACGAGUCAUGAAAAUCUCAAAUGGCUUUUUUUAGUUUUGAUCCAUGUUAUUUACGAAUUUUAGGCUUCUCUAUUUUUUUUAUAUGGUUUAUUUGUCUUAGAUGUUUUGUGGUUGUAAUAAUUGUCAGAAGAAUUGGAGCCACAGUUUUGAAUUAAACAAAUUAACGGAAGAAUAUUUGCUGGCAUGAAGUUAAUAAAGUUUUGUUAGUAAGAAUUGAGAGAUGAUUUUGGCUCAAGACAAUUUAUGUUGCUACUUUAUUCCUGUCUCAUUAAUCGCAUCGUUAGGAGUAUGCUUAGGCCGUCCUCACCUCGGGUAGGCAAGCCAUAGAAUUUUUGCUAGUUUUGAGGCGAGAGGUCGUUCCUUUAGUUAAAUUUAUCCGGGGAAUGCUCCGAAGGAUUUGUAUAUAUUUUGUUUUGGGGAAUGCCCCAUAGUAUCAUGUAUUUGAAAGCCGUGACGAACUUCAUGGAAGAAAUAUAGAAUAUAUUAGCAUUUAGGACUUUACUUUAAUUUUCUUUUAUUAGGUGGGGACAACCUCGAGCCUCUUGUGUGUUUAUUUUUCUUUUCUGUGUUUAUUUUUACCUUAAUUCGAAUAUUCUAAAAGCCA